This 254-nucleotide ribosomal RNA is filed under the name uncultured bacterium. RNAcentral describes it as "partial 16S ribosomal RNA". It matches the Rfam family "Bacterial small subunit ribosomal RNA", at positions 524 to 777 of the family's 1533-position model. The record is from RNAcentral.
UACGUAGGGUGCAAACGUUGCUCGGAAUCAUUGGGCGUAAAGCGCACGUAGGCGGCGCAGUAAGUCGGACGUGAAAUCCCUCGGCUCAACCGAGGACGUGCAUCCGAAACUACUGUGCUCGAGUAUGGAAGAGGGUCGCGGAAUUCUCGGUGUAGAGGUGAAAUUCGUAGAUAUCGGGAGGAACACCAGUGGCGAAGGCGGCGACCUGGGCCAAUACUGACGCUGAGGUGCGAAAGCGUGGGGAGCAAACAGGG